AGUGUCACAGUCCUCCAUUAAUGAACACGCCACAACAACGAAAAAUUAAAGAAAUUUAUAAAUAAUCGAUAAACAUCAGUAACAACAAAUGAAAAAAACGGAACAAGGUGGAAAUUUAUUCAUAAAAAUAGACGAUUUCUUCCUGAUGAUGAGGGCUCAGAUUCCUCGAAACAUGUAGAAA
Molecule: non-coding RNA, 181 nt
Organism: Onthophagus taurus
Lineage: Eukaryota; Metazoa; Arthropoda; Insecta; Coleoptera; Scarabaeidae
Source: RefSeq, a predicted model, not a curated record